Molecule: ribosomal RNA, 465 nt
Filed under: uncultured bacterium
Lineage: Bacteria
Description: partial 16S ribosomal RNA
Rfam family: Bacterial small subunit ribosomal RNA
Source: RNAcentral
CCUACGGGAGGCAGCAGUGGGGAAUAUUGCGCAAUGGGCGAAAGCCUGACGCAGCGACGCCGCGUGAGGGAUGAAGGUCUUCGGAUCGUAAACCUCUGUCAGCAGGGAAGAACGGUCACUGUGCUAAUCAGCAGUGAAUUGACGGUACCUGCAAAGGACGCACCGGCUAACUCCGUGCCAGCAGCAGCGGUAAUACGGCGGGUGCGAGCGUUAAUCGGAAUUACUUGGCGUAAAGCGCUCGUAGACGGUAUGUCAAGUCAAGGGUGAAACCCCCGCGCUCAACGUGGGAACUGCCUUUUAAACUGGCAAACUGGAGUGUGGGAGAGGAUAGUGGAAUUCGAGGUGUAGGAGUGAAAUCCGUAGAUAUCUGGAGGAACAUCAGUUGCGAAGGCGACUAUCGGGCACAUAACUGACGCUGAGGCUCGAAAGCAUGGGGAUCAAACAGGAUUAGAUACCCGGGUAGUC